CCUGGAAUGUGGCUGAGGGAACCUGCUAGGGCUGCUUGGCUGAGAUGUCCAGCCAGCUGUACUUCCUCACCCAGCCCACACCGCCAUCUUGGUGCUGGAGUGGGCUUGGCGUGAGUCAGGCGGCCAUCUUGGCGCUGAGACAAGCCUGGCAGGCAGCUGAGCGCUGAGGUGACAAGGGAGGCCAGCUCGGUGCUGAGGUGGGCUUGGCGUGAGUCAGGCGGCCAUCUUGGCGCUGAGACAAGCCUGGCAGGCAGCUGAGCGCUGAGGUGACAAGGGAGGCCAGCUCGGCGCUGAGGUGGGCUUGGCGUGAGUCAGGCGGCCAUCUUGGCGCUGAGACAAGCCUGGCAGGCAGCUGAGUGCUGGGGUGACAAGGGAGGCCAGCUCGGCGCUGAGGUGGGCCCAGGGGAAGCCCACCCACUCGUGCGGUGCCCGGGCAAGGCUGGCAGGAGCCCA
Molecule: long non-coding RNA, 453 nt
Organism: Gopherus flavomarginatus (Mexican gopher tortoise)
Lineage: Eukaryota; Metazoa; Chordata; Testudines; Testudinidae
Exons: 4
Source: RefSeq, a predicted model, not a curated record